GCAGGCGCGAAACCUUUACACUGCACGACAGUGCGAUAAGGGGACUCCGAGUGCGAGGGCAUACAGUCCUCGCUUUUCUGUACUGUAGGGAAGUACAGGAACAAGUGCUGGGCAAGACCGGUGCCAGCCGCCGCGGUAAUACCGGCAGCACGAGUGAUGGCCGCUCUUAUUGGGCCUAAAGCGUCCGUAGCCAGCCGAGCAAGUCCGUCGGGAAGUCUGCCCGCUUAACGGGCAGGCGUCCGGCGGAAACUGUUCGGCUUGGGGCCGAGAGAUCCAAGGGGUACGUCCGGGGUAGGAGUGAAAUCCCGUAAUCCUGGACGGACCACCGGUGGCGAAAGCGCCUUGGAAAAACGGACCCGACGGUAAGGGACGAAAGCUAGGGUCUCGAACCGGAUUAGAUACCCGGGUAGUCCUAGCCGUAAACGAUGCUCGCUAGGUGUGGCGUGGGCUACGAGCCUGCGCUGUGCCGUAGGGAAGCCGUGAAGCGAGCCGCCUGGGAAGUACGUCCGCAAGGAUGAAACUUAAAGGAAUUGGCGGGGGAGCACUACAACCGGAGGAGCCUGCGGUUUAAUUGGAUUCAACGCCGG
This 587-nucleotide ribosomal RNA is filed under the name uncultured haloarchaeon. RNAcentral describes it as "bacterial SSU rRNA". It matches the Rfam family "Archaeal small subunit ribosomal RNA", at positions 335 to 921 of the family's 1478-position model. Lineage: Archaea; Methanobacteriati; Methanobacteriota; Halobacteria; Halobacteriales; Halobacteriaceae. The record is from RNAcentral.